This is an RNA transcript of Adelges cooleyi (spruce gall adelgid), 2728 nucleotides long. RefSeq lists it as uncharacterized. NCBI's taxonomy places the organism in Eukaryota, Metazoa, Arthropoda, Insecta, Hemiptera, Adelgidae. The transcript is spliced from 14 exons. The record is from RefSeq and is a predicted model, not a curated record.
UAGUAUACUUGUAUAUGGUCGUCUACAUACUUCUCUGUUCGACUAGUGAGUGUUGGCGGGUAGCUGAAAAAGUAAAAUCUUAAAAUCUCAAACCUUUUUUGUGUCAAGUUGAUAUUUAAUGCAAUUUGUUUUGUAAAACAACAAAUGUAAACACUAUUACUGGUUGCCUGCACAGUGUACCUUAUGUCAAAAAUUUAGAUGUUUUCGACACAAUAAGUAUAUCUGUACAUAUUCCUAAAAAGCGUAACAAUAAACAAUGGAAAACCAAUCCAAUAUGAGUUCACCGCGGCCAAUAUUGCCUUCUACCUAUGUUACUCAGCCAAUGUCACAUAACAAUGCAAUAAAUUUACAAACGGAUUUCACGUCUCCUCCUCCACCACCAUCUCUCAACCAUCCUAAUUAUUGGCCUCAACCAAACUACAGCGGAACUUGGCAGCAACCUUAUCAUAUACAAGGGCCAGCUACGCCAACCAGUACAACCAUCACUACUUGUACAAGUACUACUAUUACGUAUAGCCCAACUACUAGCUCCGGCAUUAGAUCUUCUUCGCCUCGCUGGCGAUUUAACAAUAACUCGAGACAACAACGUCCUUUCCCAUAUGGAAGUGUUCCUAGAAACAACUAUCCCAGACAAUUUCCAGUUAACAGUAGUGGAAAUUUCUUUGGCAAUGGUGCUCCAAAUCAGUCAAAUUCUUCAUCUCAAAACUGGCAACAGUUUAACCAAAGACCUCGAUAUUUACAAAGACAAAAUGUGCGAAUGAAUAGGCCACGUACUACUGUUCAAAAUCAGACCAACGGAAUAAAUCAAGAAUCAAAUUCUGUCACUGAGUGUAAGACGCGCAAACGUAAGGUUAAGUCUCAGCAACCCGGCGAACCACAACGUGCCCAAAAACCGUGGAAUCGUGAAGAUGCAGAAAAAGCUAUUGCUGCCGAAAUGGAACUACGUACUCCAAAAAAUAAUAAACAAAUUAUGAUAAGAUUUCCUGACCACGAAAUCACCCGGCAAAUAGUACAAAGUUUUCAUUCUGACAUAAAGUCUGUACAUUUCCAUACACCUUGUAAUCCGAGGUAUUGCUAUGUACAAGUACAACCAAAUGCAAAUAUAGAUAAUGUAGCUAAGGAGUUGAAUGAAACGAUUUUUCAACAUGAAAAAUUGCGCGUUGAAGUUAAAGAGAGUCAGUUUGAAGAAAAAGCUUUUCCAGAAUGCAUUGACCCCUAUACUUUAUAUCUUGGUAAUUUACCAACCAACAUCACUUCUAAUGCAGUUAAAGAUGAAUUUCCUAAAGCUACUAGAGUUGAUAUUGGAUUUGCUAAAAAAAUGAAGUACACAAGGUAUGCAUUUAUUAAAUUUUCAAAUGCUGAAGAUGCUAUUCAAGCAUACAAAGAAAAGUAUAAUCUAGUUAUUGAUAGCCGAUCAGUUGUACUAAGAUUUAGGCGAGGCAAAGGCAAUGUAAAUCCACCUGGACAAGUUGAUAAACUGCCAAACGAAAUGAAUGAAUAUGAUGCUCGAAAAGAAAUUAAAAGUGAACCUAAAGAUGAAAUGUAUGAUUAUUUGCAAACUGAAUAUGAGAGUACUGAAAUUAAUAUAUCUCGUGUCAAAUCAGAAGUCAUAGAUUAUGAGGAUAAUGAAGAUGAAGAUGCCAUUUUUGAAUGUGCUAGCGAAACUAGUGGCGAUAUUAUAAUUAAAUCUGAAACUCGAGUUUCUGAUAACGAGUAUGAAGAUGAUUAUGAUUACAGUGAAGACGAGCGUGGUCCAACCUAUAAGUUCUUCCCCAAAAAUAACAUGGUAGUUGAAUCGUACUCUGGAAAUGGUCAAACACAAACUGUUACAUCAAUUGUUGAAAAUAAUGACGAUAUACCUCAUGUAAUUCAAGAUGAAGAUCCAAGAUGGUUGGCGGUAGACGACAUCCAAGAAGAAGGAGGAAAAAAAGAAGAGUCGCCUUAUACAUUUGAUCCAUCUCUAAAGAUUAAGUUAGAAAAAAGUGAUAACUCUAAUACUACAAGUGAGAUAGGAGAUGGUCAAAUCUUGACUGACGGUACAGGGUACAAUUUUGAACUUGUGGGUGUUCCCAGGAUGGAGGCAAAAGCUGAUGAGCCAAGUGAAUUUGUGGGUGGAAAAAAAAGAAAGAAGAACAACUCCAAUCUUGAUAAUAAUACUGGUUAGUCAGUUACAGGAGUUCUAAUAUGAAAAAGAAAAUUAGAGUCUUGUUCACCCGUGAGGCCAAAGGGGUAUUUAUUUUUGUAUUGGCCCGGUUACCGGGUCACGUCGAGAAGCACAACUGAUGCACAUGUACUGAAGCGACUGAAGGACUGUUAAUUAUAGGAUCAAAAUCAAAGAGGAAAUAGAACAAAAUGACAUGCAGAUUGUACUAUUAACAUUUUCAAUUAUACUGGAAAAACGGGUUCUUCACACAUUCCUUUUAAAUAGAGUUUACUCGGUAUAGUAUUGUCUAUUAUUUAUUUUACAUAAUAUAGUAUCAUACAUUGUAUUUACUAGGUUUUAUUUGUAGUAAAAAAAAAAAUAACAAUAAUUUCCUACUAUAAUUAUACAUGUAUUCUAUUAUUAUUAUUAUUAUUAUUAUUAUUAUUAUUAGAACAAUUGAUGAUAAAUAGUUUUAAGUUAAAACUUUAUUACUGACACAUCACAAUUUAACUUUGAUUAUGUAAAAUAAAGUUCUUUAACUGAUAUUACUCCCACCUUUAGUGCAUAGCUAUACACUUCAAAUAA